ACGGGUGAGUAACACGUGGGCAACCUGCCCUUGAGACUGGGAUAACUUCGGGAAACCGGAGCUAAUACCGGAUAAUACAAGGAACCUCCUGGUUCCUUGUUGAAAGAUGGUUUCGGCUAUCACUUAAGGAUGGGCCCGCGGCGCAUUAGCUAGUUGGUGAGGUAACGGCUCACCAAGGCGACGAUGCGUAGCCGACCUGAGAGGGUGAUCGGCCACACUGGGACUGAGACACGGCCCAGACUCCUACGGGAGGCAGCAGUAGGGAAUCUUCCACAAUGGACGAAAGUCUGAUGGAGCAACGCCGCGUGAGUGAUGAAGGCCUUCGGGUCGUAAAGCUCUGUUGUUAGGGAAGAACAAGUGCGAGAGUAACUGCUCGCACCUUGACGGUACCUAACCAGAAAGCCACGGCUAACUACGUGCCAGCAGCCGCGGUAAUACGUAGGUGGCAAGCGUUAUCCGGAAUUAUUGGGCGUAAAGCGCGCGCAGGUGGUUUCUUAAGUCUGAUGUGAAAGCCCACGGCUCAACCGUGGAGGGUCAUUGGAAACUGGGGAACUUGAGUGCAGAAGAGGAAAGUGGAAU
This 579-nucleotide ribosomal RNA is filed under the name uncultured bacterium. Its description in RNAcentral is "bacterial SSU rRNA". It matches the Rfam family "Bacterial small subunit ribosomal RNA", at positions 102 to 667 of the family's 1533-position model. The record is from RNAcentral.